AAGGGGUUAGUCCAACAAAGACUUCUAAUUUCGGCUUAGACAAUUAUGGUGAGACCCCAUAACCCCCUU
Molecule: transfer RNA, 69 nt
Filed under: Thryssa vitrirostris (orangemouth anchovy)
Lineage: Eukaryota; Metazoa; Chordata; Actinopteri; Clupeiformes; Engraulidae
Description: tRNA-Arg
Source: RNAcentral